AACCAGUCUACGAGGCAACAAAAAUUCCGCCAAGAAUAAACAAAGAGAUUGCGAGAUGUUGUUUACGUGUGUCACUCGACACUGACUGCAAGAAGCAAAGAGUGAAGAGCUAAUGCAUGGUGCUAAGUAUGGAAUGGUCUCUUGUGGUUUGGUUGUGCCAGAGACAAAUGUGCAUUAUUUCCAUGUUGGGUCAGAAGUCUCGGUACACUUUAGGUGAGUGGCAGUUGGGUAGAUGGAUGACCUUCAGAUAGUUUGAGAUGAAGAAGUUCUUUUAAAUGAUUGAAAGUGAUCAUCAUAGAAUCAACUCCAUUAUGAAGAUAAAUUAUGAGAGUCAGCACUCCUUUUGUCCAACACCUGAGAGAUCUGAGUACCCAGCCUACUGUUGAAUUAAUUGGUGACCAAAAAAGAUGAGAGAGGGGAAUCAAAUAUGGAUGCCAUCAUGAUCAAGAAUAUAUACAUUGACUAGAAAAUAUCUGAAAAUAUAUAGAUGAACAUUCAAGCAUUUAUAAUAAUGAAAGUUAUUCAGCAAGAGAGUUUUUGCACAAGUUUAAUUUUCAGUAAAAUUGUGUAUAUUGUGCACUGAGGAACUUAGUAUGUAACUCAUUAUGAUUAUCCAUUUCUUUAGAGGAUGUAUUCGGAGUAUAUUUAAAUAAUCAUUAUCUUCUAGAAAAGAGCACACAAAACUUUUCUCUCUGUGCGAAGCAUGACACAUAUGCAUACACUCCAGCAUUUACCACAACCACAGUUACAUAUUUUCCAGGGUGUUUGAAGUCGAGCACAUACAUGAAAAUGUGUUAAGCUGGACACAUGUGCAAACACACAAGCAUCUACCACAACACCAGUUACAUAUUUUCCAAGGCGUGUGAAGUCAAGCACAUACAUGAAAAUGUGUGAAGCUGGACACAUAUGCAAACACACAAGCAUCUAUCAAACCAAUUACAUAUUUUCCAAGGCGUGUGAAGUCGAGCACAUACAUGAAAAUGUGUGAAGCUGGACACAUAUGCAAACACACAAGCAUCUACCACAACACCAGUUACAUAUUUUCCAAGGCGUGUGAAGUCGAGCACACACAUGAAAAUGUGUGAAGCUGGACACAUAUGCAAACAUACAACAUCUUCCACAACACCAGUUACAUAUUUUCCAAGGCGUGUGAAGAUGGACACUUAUGCAAACAUAAUCUCCUACCACAGACGCAAUACACGUAACAUUUAGUCCAAAGUAUAAAGUCAAGCUCAAACAGGCUCACUGCGUGAAGCUGGACACAUGCAUUUACUUAUGCAUCUUGCAAAACUACAUCUGAACCUACAUUCUAAUAGGUGUUUAAGCAAUUUUGUUUAUUUUGUGAAUCUGUAAAUUGCACCAUUAUGCUUACAAGAUGUCAACAUUAUUAACCUGUACAUAAAUAAUCAUUAGAUAGCUUUUAAUAGUUUAAGUUGGAAAUACUAGUACUUUGCCUGAUUUAUGUUGUGUAGUUUCUCGUCAGUGAUCUUGAGUAAUA
This is a long non-coding RNA of Saccostrea echinata, 1498 nucleotides long. RefSeq lists it as uncharacterized. The transcript is spliced from 4 exons. The record is from RefSeq and is a predicted model, not a curated record. NCBI's taxonomy places the organism in Eukaryota, Metazoa, Mollusca, Bivalvia, Ostreida, Ostreidae.